CGUAGGGGGCUAGCGUUGUCCGGAAUCAUUGGGCGUAAAGCGCGCGUAGGCGGCUCGGUAAGUCCGCUGUAAAAGUCAAAGGCUCAACCUUUGAAUGUCAGUGGAUACUGCCGGGCUAGAGUCCGGAAGAGGCGAGUGGAAUUCCUGGUGUAGCGGUGGAAUGCGCAGAUAUCAGGAGGAACACCAACGGCGAAGGCAGCUCGCUGGGACGGUACUGACGCUGAGGCGCGAAAGCGUGGGGAGCGAACAGGAUUAGAUACCCUGGUAGUCCACGCCGUAAACGAUGGGCACUAGGUGUGGGAGGUGUCGACUCCUCCCGUGCCGGCGCUAACGCAUUAAGUGCCCCGCCUGGGGAGUACGGCCGCAAGGCUA
This 372-nucleotide ribosomal RNA is filed under the name uncultured organism. RNAcentral describes it as "bacterial SSU rRNA". It matches the Rfam family "Bacterial small subunit ribosomal RNA", at positions 526 to 896 of the family's 1533-position model. The record is from RNAcentral.